RNAcentral lists this ribosomal RNA (305 nucleotides) under uncultured bacterium. RNAcentral's name for it is "bacterial SSU rRNA". It matches the Rfam family "Bacterial small subunit ribosomal RNA", at positions 335 to 637 of the family's 1533-position model. The record is from RNAcentral.
UUUCCUACGGGAGGCAGCAGUGAGGAAUAUUGGUCAAUGGUCGGGAGACUGAACCAGCCAAGCCGCGUGAGGGAGGAAGGUACAGAGUAUCGUAAACCUCUUUUGUCAGGGAACAAAGGCGGGGACGUGUCCCCGGAUGAGUGUACCUGAAGAAAAAGCAUCGGCUAACUCCGUGCCAGCAGCCGCGGUAAUACGGAGGAUGCGAGCGUUAUCCGGAUUUACUGGGUGUAAAGGGAGCGUAGACGGCGCGGCAAGUCUGAAGUGAAAGGCAGGGGCUUAACCCCUGAACUGCUUUGGAAACUGCC